Oncorhynchus gorbuscha (pink salmon) is the source of this 3534-nucleotide RNA transcript. It is a transcript of the gene named phospholipid phosphatase 3-like, with no coding region annotated. The transcript is spliced from 6 exons. The record is from RefSeq and is a predicted model, not a curated record. NCBI's taxonomy places the organism in Eukaryota, Metazoa, Chordata, Actinopteri, Salmoniformes, Salmonidae.
AGGAGAUAUAAACAUGUUGCAAAACAAACUCCUGGGGCUCUGCCUAGUUUUGGGGAGGGACAAAAUGCGAGGGAACAGGAGGACUGAACAGAAAACAGUCCACAUGGAGAGGGCAUUUGGAAUAGUUGAAUGAAUGGCAUAUGAGCAAGUUUGAAAGUUGACAGAGGAAUUGAGCAAUGCGUGUUCUGCAAGUUAUUCUUUUAAAAUAUUGAUUCAGUUGGUUUUAGGGUAACGUAUGAUGUAGCGUGUCUAGCCAGCUACAGUAGUUGAAGACUUUGAACAGAACACGAGACAGUGGGACAGUGAGCGCUUUAGCUCGCAACACCUCAGUGAACUGCCAGCUUUGCUUAGACUAGCAAGAACACUUCUCUUUCAGUUUAUCUUUACUCUUCUUUACGCUGUCGUGGAAUUUGUCUUACAUUUCACAGAUAAGCUUGUUGCUAACGGUUUGAUUCCUGUCAAGUUGAACUUGUGGUUGUUGGACAUGUUUUUCAAUAACAGCUAGCUAGCUAAUGUUAGUCAGCCAUCAUUAAUUUGUAUUUUUCAACGUUGGACGGACUGAAUGUUCACCUUUGGAAUACUUAACGUUACUGUCAGAAAACAGCAACAAGACAACAUCAACGUUGUAUUUUAAACGAGACAAUAUGCAAAAGUUCAACUCGACACACACUAGUACUCUUCCUCGGGACGCUGAGCUUCAGCAGCGUUUAUCCGACAACGGGGGAGCCGGGGAGGCGAUGAAGGAAAACGGCUCUGGGAAGAAUCACAUCCUUGCAGAACCUGCAGACACUUCACUCUGUACCAAGAGAAAGAUGCUGGUCGGCUUGGAUGUUUUCUGUCUGUUUGUAGCCUCCAUCCCGUUCUUUGCGUGUGAGUUGAAGGCGGUGACUCCGUACCGGAGGGGUUUCUUCUGUGGGGACCAGAGCAUCACCUACCCCUUCCUGGAGAGAGAGGCCAUCCCUGACGCACUGCUCAUCGCUGGGGGCAUCGUCAUCACUGGCCUCACGAUUGCGCUGGGCGAGUGUUACCGGGUUCGAUUCGUGAGGUGCAAUCACGGGCCUUUGUGCGCAACCUCUACGUGUCCUGCCUCUAUAAGGAGCUGGGAAGCUUCCUGUUCGGCUGCUGCGUGGGCCAAUCAUUGACCAACAUGGCCAAGCUGAGUGUGGGGCGCCUGCGACCUAACUUCCUGUCGGUGUGCAACGUGACAUACGCCUCGCUCAACUGCGUCCCCGGCUCCUACGUGGCCCAGGUCACCUGCAGGCAGCCCAAACACAAGAUGGUGGAGGAGGCCAGGAAGUCCUUUUUCUCUGGCCAUUCCUCUUUUGCCAUGUACACCAUGCUCUACCUGGCGUUCUACCUGCAGGCGCGGUUGUCAUGGCGAGGGGCUCGUCUGCUGCGCCCGCUACUACAGUUCCUGCUGGUGAUGAUAGCCGUGUACACCGGGCUGAGCCGCAUCUCUGACUACCGCCACCACCCCACCGACGUGAUCACCGGCUUCAUCCAGGGAGGCCUCACCGCCUACUGGGUGGCCUUCUAUAUUUCCGCCAUGUUUAAGAACAACCGUCCAGAACUGUCUCCCACCAGCAUGUCUCUGGAGAGCCCCCUGUCCAGCCAACAGACCGUCUGCUAGCACCAUCUGCCCCAACACACCCCUCCUCACCUACCUGGACGGAUGGGAGAAAAGACAGAAAGAGAGAGAGAGGGAGAGACAGUCAGAUAGCAGAGGCGUGCAGCACAUGGAGGGACAGGGAGGGAGACAAGGUGUGUGAAAAGGAAGGGGGAUGAGAUAAGGUACCUAGAGCAGGUAAAGAGCUUUCUAGCAAGUACACACAUGCUCUGAUGAAUACAUCAAGACACGCACGCACAUGUAGUGCCACCUCUCUCUCUCUCACUAACACACACUACCAUCUAACACACACACACACACACCAAAUCACUGUAGAGUACAACCCGUCCACAUGGAGAUAUGCAUAGUCAUUUUACAGAUAUUUUGUAUAUGAAAAAUGACAAAUGUUUCUAUUUUUCAAACGAGAGUCGUAGAUGAAGCUGCUAAUGAUAAUGAUUUUUUUCCUGUUCUAAGUUGAAUAUGUUUUAUAUGUGAUGGUGGUUAGUGGGCAGUGCAUUAGGUUAGCUCUCAAACACACGGUCAGUCAGUGUCUCUAAAUGAUUUUCAUUGGUCAUUUGACCAGCCUGGAUGAUGACAUCAUCAGCUGGACUCCACUUCUUCAGCUUGACGUCCCCUGACUCUAAUUCUGUGGAUGUCUCAUUGACGUCCCCUGACUCUAAUUCUGUGGAUGUCUCAUUGACGUCCCCUGACUCUAAUUCUGUGGAUGUCUCAUUGACGCCCCCUGACUCUAAUUCUGUGGAUGUCUCAUUGACGUCCCCUGACUCUAAUUCUGUGGAUGUCUCAUUGAUGCCCCCUGACUCUAAUUCUGUGGAUGCCUCAUUGACGUCCCCUGACUCUAAUUCUGUGGAUGUCUCAUUGACGUCCCCUGACUCUAAUUCUGUGGAUGUCUCAUUGACGUCCCCUGACUCUAAUUCUGUGGAUGUCUCAUUGACGUCCCCUGACUCUAAUUCUGUGGAUGUCUCAUUGACGCCCCCUGACUCUAAUUCUGUGGAUGUCUCAUUGACGCCCCCUGACUCUAAUUCUGUGGAUGUCUCAUUGACGCCCCCUGACUCUAAUUCUGUGGAUGUCUCAUUGACGUCCCCUGACUCUAAUUCUGUGGAUGCCUCUCCAUCCUUCACCUUCUAACUACACAGCAACUAGUAGAGGAUGUCAUGGACAACGACAAAAGAGAACACUUUGUAUUCAACCAAGUAUCUUAACUUCAGUUACCCAGGAGUGAUAGGGUGGAAAUCUGCUUUGCCCAGGUUACGUCCCCUCCCCCCCACUCCCACGCUUUUCCAUGUCUGUACUCUGUACUAACCACUUAUUACUCUGUCUCAGAGGCGGAGCUAUGACUGAACCCUGUAACCUUUGACCUAUUACCCUGACCUCUGAGCUGCACCUUGAGUUCUGCCACUCUCACAGGGGAGCCAAAAUGGCUGCCUCGUGUUGCCUAUGGCAGAGGUCCCCUGUAUAUUCCUAUUAAUAGCACUUGAACUACAUACUGGAACCUACUCUGAUAGUAUAAUUGAUAUUAUAUAUAUUUUCUCAAGUUUGAAUAAUCAGUGUUUUAUUUCUCUUAAUAUGUCACUCUCAUACGGUAUAUGUUUUAGUUUUUUUCCAAAUGAUAAUUAUUCAAAUUGAAUGUAAAUAGAUAUGUCUUUUUUAUAAACCACACAGAAUUUCAAAAGUAUUAUUAGUGCCAUUUUUGGACAGUUUUUUUCACGUUUAUGUGUUAUGUGUCUGUGUUGUUGAUCAGGUACGCAGAGUUGUUGUUAUUGUCAUAACGACUAGACUGAGCCAGAGCUAUUAUCAGAAAGCUAUUUCUUGUUUCCAGUUUUUCGUUUUUCCCCCUGUGAAUGCCAGAAUGGCUGAAAAUAACCACUGUACUCAAAAAACCAAACCAAUAAAAUGAAUGUUGAAUCUUU